GAAAUGGCUACAUUUAAAACAUGCACUUUGAAGCAUUCAAACUUUCAGUUGAUUUACCCGAACUGUCUCAAUGUUCCUGCCAUUCACGUCCUGCCAAAUGUUCUUUUGUUGGUUCUUUGAGAAAUGAAUGCUGUCUUCUGCAGCAGGACCAGUGUCUUCAUGCGACGUCAUUGUUUAUUUCAUUGUUUUGAUUUUACCUCUCCACUUCCCCCAAGUGUAAAUAUAGUUUUAUAAUUUCAUUUAUGCUUAUGGCUUUGUGUGUUCCUUCUAGGAAUAAUACGUGGGGAAACAAAGCAAAGUAAACUAUAGCUUCUAAGUAAACAUUGCUAGGAAUUAAGAAGACUAAGAAAUAUGAACUCUGAAACAGUUUGAUUCUUACCAUCCCUCCUAUUUUGAAGAACACAUAGCAUCAUGUGUAAUUCUAUUGAGAAAAUUGUUGGCUCUGUGUGGUAAAACUCUUGACAUUAACUAACGUCUUACAUGUCUAGAGAUACGACUUUGAGUAACUUUUCCUUUCCUUAGAGGAAAUUAAGCAAGCUGAGUCUAGUCUAAAGAUACGAUGUUCCAUAAUACCUUAACCUACUUCAUACUGGUUAGAAAUUAUUCUUUCUUGAAAUACUUACCAAACAUUAUUGCUAAUUUUAAGAGAAGUAAAUGGAGAUUUUUUUAAUGUGUGACUUUGGGCAAGAUGGUAGACUUGACAAAGCCGAGCAUUAACUCGGUUUCUCUCGUCUUUUAAUUUUACAUCCCUAAUGUGUGACUUUGGGCAAGGUGGUAGACUUGACAAAGCCAAGCAUUAACUUGGAUUCUCUCGUCUUUCUAUUUUACAUCCCUCUCCAUGUGCCUUUAAAUUCCACUGAAGUGUGUCCCGUCUUAUCUGUUUAUCUCCAUUAAUUUCAGUAUCUUUACCUAAUGAAAGGAUUAACGUCAUAGUUGUGAUACUGCUAAAAUCAUAAUUAAUUUAGGCUAUGGAUAGCAUUAUGGAAAUCAGAAAUAUGUCCGCUUUACUCAUUGCUUGAAAAAGACAACACUUCUUUAAUAGUAGGAAGGAUACAAUUUAUUUCUUCUUGGGAGAAGAGAAAAGAGAUGAAGCUCGAUUUUUUCCUAUGCCGGUGCCUGAUUCGGAAAUGCUAAUGAAGUUUGUUAAAAUGGUUCUACACGUAAGAAAAGUUCUAUAAAUCUAACAACAUAUUUAGCAUUGUAUAAAAAGAAAGAGAAGGUCAAAAAAUAGCGCAAAUUCAAGUGCUAUCCUAAAAAUAGUAUUUCAGAGAAAUCACUUGCGCUUUAAUAUUUAGAAAGGUCUAACUCAUUCACAGCAAGUAAAUGUUAAUAAAAAACUUCCAUGCUGUGCUUAAGUGAAACUCAAAAACUAUGUAACAUAACGUAUUUCUAAGUCAGACUGAAGUCCAGCAUUAAUGCAUGCUUUAUUUUCAAACUAGCGAUACAAAAACAUAAAUGCAAAAUUAAAAUACUGUUUUACUGACUGCCUCAUCUAGCAAAUUGUUUUGCUCCAAGGGAGCAAAUAAAAUGUGUGGGUUUUGUGGUACUUUCUUUUUGAUCUCUUCGUAACAUUUUAAGCUACUUUAGUAUCACUACUGCUUUAAUAUUACCGCUAAAGUAGUAAAAUCAUACUGAACAGUGUCACUUUAGACUUAGAUUUGAGGGUGAUCAUCUAUGCAUAAGGUCAUUAAAAUGUUACGGUUUUUUGUUGUUGAUGUUGUUUUGUCUUUUGUCUUUUUCUAGGACCGCAUCUACCCGCAGCAUAUAGAGGUUCCCAGGCUAGGGGUCUAAUCAGAGCUCUAGCUGCCAGCCUACACCACAGCCACUGCAAUGCUGGAUCCAAGCCGCAUCUUCAACCUCCACCACAGCUCACGGCAAUGCCAGAUCCUUAACCCACUAAGCAAGGCCAGGGAUCAAACCUGCGUCCUCAUGGAUGCUAGUCAGAUUCAUUAACUGCUGAGCCACGACGGAACUCCUAAAUACAGAAGAGGAGACAAAACUAUUGAGCUGGUAGAGAGGGGCAGAGACCUUGAAGAUGUAAGAACAAAAAGGAAUCAAUUGAUGCAGGAAUGUCUUGGAGAUGGAUAGGAAAGGCUACUGGUCAUGGGAACCAGAGGAUAAGUAUAGAAAUUAACCUUGACUAGAAGGAGAAAUACAUCAUUUGCAUAGAAAACACUUCAGUAUGGAUGGAUUUGGAGGUGAAUGUUACCUUGCAGGAAUGUCAGUAGAAUAAUUUGAAAAAAAAAAAAAGUCAAACACAUUAUCAUGUUGGUACUAUUUAAAUCAUCAUCUACUUAAAAUAUCUACAUAAGAAACAAAAAGGGAGUUUUCUAGGAACAUGCAGUUGUAUGUAAGAGAACAGAAGACUAAGCCAGAAAUAAGACUUUACUUUUCAAGAUAUUUGGAAUAGAGAAGCAGGCUGGAAAUAGGAAAGGAAUGAAAUAGGUUGAUACUUUUAUUGAUUAAAAAGUUUAAGGACUUUUCUUUGUCAUCAUCAUUGUUGUUGUUGGGGCAUUUCAGAAGGAACAUUGAGAGCAUGAAAAAAUAAAGAUUUCAAUAAAAAUGGUACACAUGCAAUUUUAGAUAUAUAGAAUUUUAAAAUAGUUUAACUUGCUUUUCCCUUACACAAAUUCUUGUGCAUGACUUUCCUCCAAUCAACUACAAGUACUUUAGAGAGAAUUAGGAUUAAAAAGAAAAGGAAAAAGCAGUAGACAUCUUUGCCUUUCAAAUCGCCUUGUGCAACUCAUUUCAUUGAUGGACACGCUUUUCAUUUACAAAAGGAGAGAUAGUCAAGAAGAAAAAAUAGGAUAAGGAUCAAGGACCAAAAAGCUCUGAAGGAACUUAACUUUAUUCAUAAACAUAAUUUUAAAAGGUAGCUGGAGAGCAAUAUUUUAUAAUCAUCCUUUGAUAGUGUUAGUUCUGGCUGAAAAGUCAGAAAAACCCAAAAGGCAGAAGCAGGGAAAGCUUCUGCAGCCUAAGUAGACUAUUCUUGUUAGGAAAUUUCCACUUCCUCCAAGAGCAAGUACUGUCUACACCAGCCCCAGUAAGAGGGGGCCAUUGCCUGUGCUGAGGAGCUAUGUAAGCAGUCCUUUAUAACUCAGGUGGGAAGGGGAAAGUAGCCUCUGCAGAUACCUACCCAUCUUUGGCAAGGUAGGUUCGCACAAGUAUUCCCAAUGAGCAAGCUGACAUUUAAUGCCCUAAGACAUUCACAUGCUCUCCAAAUAGGAUAAGGUCCUGGAAAACCAGAGAGUCACUUGAAGGUUGAAGGAAGGACAAAUCUUCGCAUGCCCCUGGACUUGGAUGAGGAUAAGCAGAGCCAGUACCAGGGUCCCCCCUGCCCUCAAACAGGAGCAGUGUUGAAGUCUAUUCCACUUUUACAAAAGAAGGAGUUUGAUGAAAAAAGAUCUUAGGAGGGACAAUGUAAUCAGAGCAAAGCUAUAUGCCAAGUCACACAGGGGAAGUAGGAGUGCAUCUUCAGAGGUGGAAGAGAAUCAAGGGGAAUUAAAACAGCAAGGAACAAAUAAGAAAAAGGAGGGAGCUAACUAGACUCCAACAGUAUUCACAUAAAUAUGAGACUAGACAAUUUAUGAGAAGAUAGUAUUGGGAGAAUGGUGGAUUUGUGUUUUGGGGUUUGAGAAAUUUGGAGAAUCUUUGAAACAGGUCUGUGGGUAGUGUGACAUGCUUUAAAUAGGACAUAUUACAGAGGCCCAGCUAAACCAAAUUUGUAGUUUAGGAUAUCAAUCAAUUACCAAAUUAUAGCAACAUUCACUAUGGUUCAAUUUAUUUUGGUUUAAUUUAUUUCCCCAGUAACAGAUGUCCAUGUUAUUUGCUAGUUGCCAAACCACAUGAAUCUGUUUUGAUAAUAAUUGUGGAGCUUACUUAGAGAGAUGAUUUGUUUUAUUAGACAUACACUGAAUAUUUAAAUGUCACAAAAUAUAAAUUUUUUUUUAAACUAAGGCUACAGAAUUCCAGUGAAAUUACUCAAACUUCUCCCAUCUGUUAUAUAAAAUGUAAUCCAGGCUUAAAAAAUUUCAGUGUAUGUAAACACUUGACUUCCAACAUUUGCCUAUAUACUCUGAUUUACUAAAUUGUUACAUUAAAUGAACAUAAAGGAUAAAAUGAAAAUGGAACCAGCAGGAAUAGACAACUUUUAUGAGCUCGGAGAGUCAUUAUAUAGAAAUGUCAAGCUGACCACCUACUGAAAGUGGCUGGAACCCUCACUUAUUUCUAAAUGUCACCAACUUCUCAAAAUAAACACUAUGGAUUGAUGUACUAGCAGUCUUAUAUGAUGUUCUUUUAAAGUUAUCCAUAUUUUUUUUCGCUCCAAACUUCAAGUGACAAUGCAUUUUAUUUUGUUUUCUUCCUUGCAGCGAGUAUGUUACAACACUCUGGCUUUCCUCACCUAGACGAACUUUCUUUGGAGCAGGCUCCUUCAGGGACCCCUUCCCAUCCUUCGAGGCCCACUCCAGCUCAACAUGAAAAGGGUAAAAGCUUUGACGUCGGAAAACUCAAGUUCAGAAUCUGCCCUUUGCUAGUUCUGUGGUCCUUGAAUAAUUCUCACUCAAUCUGGGCUACAGUUUCCUCCUCUGAAAAGUAGAUUCUAUUUGUCCUUCAACUGUUAACAUUCUGUGAUUCGAACACCUAACCCAUUAAUACUAAGAAGCUCGGAGAAGCAAGCAAUAGCAGAUAAUACAACCAAAUUAGGAUCAAAAAGGAUGCGAAAACUGUCAUAGAAAGGAAACCUAGGCUUCUACAACUAAUACUUUUCAACCAGAUUCUGCAUAUAUUUCCUAUUUGGGGGUUCACAUUUCCAUGUAUGUGAGACUACAAUUGAUAAUAUCAGAAAUAUUUGUGCAUAUAUGUGUGUGUUUAUAUUAAAUAUAUAUAUAUAAUCAAGAAAUCAUCUUAUAAUUUAUUUUUGAAGUCAAAAGGGAUUCACAAAGUACUGGUUGACAAUGUUAAGAUUUGCUUACUUGAUAAACUAUAUUCAAUCAUAUGAUUGCUAGGAAAGCAGUCAUAUAAAAAUAUCUGAUAUGGAGUUCCCACUGUGGCUCAGUGGUAACGAACCCAGUUGCUAUCUGUGAGGAUGCAUGUUCAAUCCCUGGCCUCCCUCAGUGAUUAAGGAUCUGGUAUUGCUGUGAGCUGCGGUGUUGGUUGCACAUGCGGCUUGGAUCUGGCAUUGCUGUAGUGUAGGCCAGCAGCUACAGCUCCAAUUCAACCCCUUGCCUGGAAACUUCCAAAUGCCCUUUGUGUGGCUCUAAAAAGACCAAGAAAAAAAAAUCAGAUAUGUCAUUUGUAUAAAAAUAUGCUUUAAAUCACAAGAACAAAUUAGUGCUAAAAAUUUUUUAUGAUUCUUAAAUAUUUAAAAUUAUUUUGGUGAAAGUACAUGCCUUUUAGGAAAUUACAAUAAAUGUGCAUUUACAUCUGAUAUUAAACUAUUUUGUUUAGUAUUGAGGGAAUGUUCAGAGUCUUUUUCCAAAAUAAUCAAGUUCAAUGAAUUUAGUUUCUGUAAAACAUACCAAUUAUAUGCUCAUGUGCAUACACAAAUGUAGGUAAAAUAAGUGAUACCACCAUAAACUUUUCUUCAAACGCCUGUAACUUAAUAUUUCAUCAAUGAUUUAGUAUUUCCAUAUAUGAAAAUGUAUUUUAGAGUGAAAAUUGAAUUACAAAUUUUUUUUUAAAUGUACAGCUUUUGGACCUUAUAAAUGCAUAAAAGCUAUAUGCAAGGCCAAAGGCUAAUUUAUAAAGAUCACUAAGGUAAAAUUGAGCAGGAGAAAUCAAAUCAAUUCUAAGAAUCAUUAUGCACUGAUAAGAUAUUGACUAAACCACUGUCUCAAAAUUAGAGAAACUUGUUAUAUCAUCUCGUACUUCAUUGACUUCAUGUGCAUUUACAUUUUGUGGGGUCCUGUACAUAAAGACGACUUGGUACAUUAAUUCUCUAAGCCUUUCUUAUUUCAGUAAAAAUUAUUCAGAAUUGAGUUACUGACUAGAUUUUUUUAAAAUCAUAUUAAUACAGAAUAUCCCAAUAAAGAGCCAUUUACAAAAGAGUAUAAAUUUUAUUAUGAUUUUUGGAGUAUGCAAACACUAUCUCACAAACAAGCUUCACUUUUUUCCAUUCCUCAGUAGGUCAAAUGACAUGUGAAUUGCACAUCCAUCUUUCUACGGAUUCUAUUACACGUCCCCGGAGAGUCCACUCUCCCAUUCACAAAGAAGUUUAUUUCAUACUGUCUUGCCUCUCCUCGAAUUUCCGGCACUGACACCUCCUCCUCACUCUCAGAUGAUAACUACACUCAUUUUUCACUGAGCAACUGAAGCAACAAAAACAGCAGUUCUACUCUUCUCACCUCAUCUGCUGUCAUGCCUGUGUUUAUCUAUGAAUGCUCAAGUUUCAUUCUCUUACAAUAGAUGAAAAGUCUCUGUAUCAACUUAAGGUCAAUCCAUUCAUUUAUGUGCAUUU
RNAcentral lists this long non-coding RNA (6457 nucleotides) under Sus scrofa (pig). Its description in RNAcentral is "lncRNA (ENSSSCG00055025420.1)". Lineage: Eukaryota; Metazoa; Chordata; Mammalia; Artiodactyla; Suidae. The record is from RNAcentral.